This 253-nucleotide ribosomal RNA is filed under the name uncultured bacterium. RNAcentral describes it as "partial 16S ribosomal RNA". It matches the Rfam family "Bacterial small subunit ribosomal RNA", at positions 524 to 776 of the family's 1533-position model. The record is from RNAcentral.
UACGAAGGGGGCUAGCGUUGCUCGGAAUCACUGGGCGUAAAGGGUGCGUAGGCGGGUUUUUAAGUCAGGGGUGAAAUCCUGGAGCUCAACUCCAGAACUGCCUUUGAUACUGAAGAUCUUGAGUCCGGGAGAGGUGAGUGGAAUUCCCGGUGUAGCGGUGAAAUGCGCAGAUAUCGGGAAGAACACCCGUGGCGAAGGCGGCUCUCUGGGACGGUACUGACGCUGAGACGCGAAAGCGUGGGGAGCGAACAGG